AGAGGCCCAUCCGCGGCUGGGCGCGGAAUGCUUGCCUCGUCACCAGGGCGACAAAGCAAGCAUUCCGCCAAGGCGCUCAUGCUGCCCAC
Non-coding RNA from Myotis brandtii (Brandt's bat), 89 nucleotides. NCBI's taxonomy places the organism in Eukaryota, Metazoa, Chordata, Mammalia, Chiroptera, Vespertilionidae. The record is from Rfam.